AGUGAACGCUGGCGGUAGGCCUAACACAUGCAAGUCGAACGGCAGCACAGUAAGAGCUUGCUCUUACGGGUGGCGAGUGGCGGACGGGUGAGGAAUACAUCGGAAUCUACUUUUUCGUGGGGGAUAACGUAGGGAAACUUACGCUAAUACCGCAUACGACCUACGGGUGAAAGCAGGGGAUCUUCGGACCUUGCGCGAUUGAAUGAACCGAUGUCGGAUUAGCUAGUUGGCGGGGUAAAGGCCCACCAAGGCGACGAUCCGUAGCUGGUCUGAGAGGAUGAUCAGCCACACUGGAACUGAGACACGGUCCAGACUCCUACGGGAGGCAGCAGUGGGGAAUAUUGGACAAUGGGCGCAAGCCUGAUCCAGCCAUACCGUGUGGGUGAAGAAGGCCUUCGGGUUGUAAAGCCCUUUUGUUGGGAAAGAAAAGCAGCAGGUUAAUACCCCGCUGUUCUGACGGUACCCAAAGAAUAAGCACCGGCUAACUUCGUG
This 492-nucleotide ribosomal RNA is filed under the name uncultured bacterium. RNAcentral describes it as "partial 16S ribosomal RNA". It matches the Rfam family "Bacterial small subunit ribosomal RNA", at positions 29 to 507 of the family's 1533-position model. The record is from RNAcentral.